CAGAAACAAGACUACCUUAGCAGCAGUGUCAUUGUUCCUGCUGCAGGUAGUCGUCUAAGCAUUUAAUAUUAUUAUUAGUUUCUCUUGUCAUUGAAUUUAUCUAUUCAUCUUCUCGGUUCUCGUCACUUUCUGGGUUUAAUUUCCUGCCAUUGGAUGGGAUCCCAUGUUCCUUCCACUUACUCGAUCCCACUCUGCCAUUCAUAGCAAACAGUAUCUACAGUCACUGGUAGUUAGGAGUACUGAUUUAAGAGUAUAUGGUCACCAACGGUGGCAAGCCAAAAUGUAUCCAGCCGCUAAGGCUGUGGACUAGUGAAUAAUGGUAUUCGAGAAGUCUCAAGUUCGAAUUUUAAUUUUCUUUUUAAAUGGUGAUGGGAAAGCGAUAAUUCACCAAUUUGAUAGGUAUGCUUGGUCGGCCGGGUGGUUCAUAUUAUAGAAAAAUGUUGAUAAUUUGAUAGGAUUUAAUUUUACGAUUCGUUUUUGAUUUGAUUAUGCA
RNAcentral lists this long non-coding RNA (493 nucleotides) under Linum usitatissimum (flax). Its description in RNAcentral is "long non-coding RNA (LUSI_LNC004088)". The record is from RNAcentral. Lineage: Eukaryota; Viridiplantae; Streptophyta; Magnoliopsida; Malpighiales; Linaceae.